UGGCUGGGUGAUUGCUGUGAUGUCACUCAGGCCAUGGCUCAGGUGUGAUGUCACCUCUUUGUCUUUGCCUGUUCCACAGCAGAGAGUGAAUAUUGUGCUGGUUUUGUGCCCUCAUUGCAACAACCCUGAGACAAAUUCUUCACAAAGGAAACCAUUCAGCGGUGGGAAUUCUGUCCAUGUCAAGCUUUUCCAGGGUUGAAUCCUUCUGUACCAUCCUGCUUUUCACUAGAGUGGGCAGAUCUCUCUGGACUGGCCCCACUGCCUGGCAUCCCCCAGGUCACCACUGUGGACAUGAGGGAUCAAACAGCACCAAUCCCAAAAAGGUUGGGCCAAGAGGAAGAAAUGGCAUGGAAUAAACCCCUUGGGAAGACAGUUGUGCUGAUGGGGAUUGAAAUAGGCACCACUGAACUCAUCCCUUUUACCACUCCUGUGCCCACAAGAAUUAGCAACAACUCAGGAUGAGAGGUGGAUGUGUUUUCUGUAGGAAAUAAGGAAAAA
Molecule: long non-coding RNA, 498 nt
Organism: Vidua chalybeata
Lineage: Eukaryota; Metazoa; Chordata; Aves; Passeriformes; Viduidae
Exons: 3
Source: RefSeq, a predicted model, not a curated record